AGAGUUUGAUCAUGGCUCAGAUUGAACGCUGGCGGCAGGCUUAACACAUGCAAGUCGAGCGGAGCGAGGGUGCUUGCACCUUAGCUUAGCGGCGGACGGGUGAGUAAUGCUUAGGAAUCUGCCUAUUAGUGGGGGACAACAUUCCGAAAGGGAUGCUAAUACCGCAUACGCCCUACGGGGGAAAGCAGGGGAUCUUCGGACCUUGCGCUAAUAGAUGAGCCUAAGUCGGAUUAGCUAGUUGGUGGGGUAAAGGCCUACCAAGGCGACGAUCUGUAGCGGGUCUGAGAGGAUGAUCCGCCACACUGGGACUGAGACACGGCCCAGACUCCUACGGGAGGCAGCAGUGGGGAAUAUUGGACAAUGGGGGGAACCCUGAUCCAGCCAUGCCGCGUGUGUGAAGAAGGCCUUUUGGUUGUAAAGCACUUUAAGCGAGGAGGAGGCGCUCUAGGAUAAUACCCUAGAUGCGUGGACGUUACUCGCAGAAUAAGCACCGGCUAACUCUGUGCCAGCAGCCGCGGUAAUACAGAGGGUGCGAGCGUUAAUCGGAUUUACUGGGCGUAAAGCGCGCGUAGGUGGCUAAUUAAGUCAAAUGUGAAAUCCCCGAGCUUAACUUGGGAAUUGCAUUCGAUACUGGUUAGCUAGAGUAUGGGAGAGGAUGGUAGAAUUCCAGGUGUAGCGGUGAAAUGCGUAGAGAUCUGGAGGAAUACCGAUGGCGAAGGCAGCCAUCUGGCCUAAUACUGACACUGAGGUGCGAAAGCAUGGGGAGCAAACAG
RNAcentral lists this ribosomal RNA (773 nucleotides) under uncultured Gammaproteobacteria bacterium. Its description in RNAcentral is "bacterial SSU rRNA". It matches the Rfam family "Bacterial small subunit ribosomal RNA", at positions 8 to 775 of the family's 1533-position model. The record is from RNAcentral. Lineage: Bacteria; Pseudomonadati; Pseudomonadota; Gammaproteobacteria.